GCUUGUCUCAAAGAUUAAGCCAUGCAUGUCUAAGUAUAAGUAUUAUACAGCGAAACUGCGAAUGGCUCAUUAAAACAGUUAUGGUUUAUUUGAUAAUCGAAUUUUACAUGGAUAACCGUGGUAAUUCUAGAGCUAAUACAUGCUGGUGUGCCUGACUUUUCGGAAGGGCGGUAUUUAUUAGAUGGAAACCAAUGCGGGGCAACCCGGUAUAUGGUGAUUCAUAAUAACUUUCGGAUCGAUUUAUCGAUGCAUCAUUCAAGUUUCUGCCCUAUCAGCUUUGGAUGGUAGGGUAUUGGCCUACCAUGGCUUUAACGGGUAACGGAGAAUUAGGGUUCGAUUCCGGAGAGGGAGCCUGAGAAAUGGCUACCACAUCCAAGGAAGGCAGCAGG
RNAcentral lists this ribosomal RNA (389 nucleotides) under Ochromonas tuberculata. RNAcentral's name for it is "partial small subunit ribosomal RNA". It matches the Rfam family "Eukaryotic small subunit ribosomal RNA", at positions 30 to 432 of the family's 1831-position model. Lineage: Eukaryota; Chrysophyceae; Chromulinales; Chromulinaceae. The record is from RNAcentral.